Molecule: ribosomal RNA, 483 nt
Filed under: uncultured bacterium
Lineage: Bacteria
Description: partial 16S ribosomal RNA
Rfam family: Bacterial small subunit ribosomal RNA
Source: RNAcentral
GAUGAACGCUAGCGGCAGGCCUAAUACAUGCAAGCCGAACGGCAAGUUUGAUAUCAAUAUUGGACCUAGAGUGGCGCAAGGGUGCGUAACACGUAUGCAACCUGCCCGCGACAGGAGGAUAGCUCCCCGAAAGGGGAAUUAACCCUCCAUAACACCAUGAGAAGGCAUCUGAUUAUGGUUAAACCGCAAGGGGUCGCGGAUGGGCAUGCGGUUGCUUAGCGAGUUGGCGGGGUAAAGGCCCACCAAGGCUGUGAUCAAUAGGGGUUCUGAAAGGAAGGUCCGCCAGACUGGAACUGAGAUAAGGGCGAGACUCCUACGGGAGGCAGCAGUAGAGAAUAGUGGACAGUGGGUGAAAGACCGAAACAGGCAUGCCGCGGGCAGGACGAAGGCGUUCUGGGUCGUAAACUGCUUUUGCCUGUGGAUAAAAUACCCGUGCGCGGAGAAUUGAAGGUAACAGGGGAAUAAGCCACGGCUAACUACGUG